UUUAUGGAGAGUUUGAUCCUGGCUCAGGAUGAACGCUGGCGGCGUGCCUAAUACAUGCAAGUCGAGCGAACGGACGAGAAGCUUGCUUCUCUGAUGUUAGCGGCGGACGGGUGAGUAACACGUGGAUAACCUACCUAUAAGACUGGGAUAACUUCGGGAAACCGGAGCUAAUACCGGAUAAUAUUUUGAACCGCAUGGUUCAAAAGUGAAAGACGGUCUUGCUGUCACUUAUAGAUGGAUCCGCGCUGCAUUAGCUAGUUGGUAAGGUAACGGCUUACCAAGGCAACGAUGCAUAGCCGACCUGAGAGGGUGAUCGGCCACACUGGAACUGAGACACGGUCCAGACUCCUACGGGAGGCAGCAGUAGGGAAUCUUCCGCAAUGGGCGAAAGCCUGACGGAGCAACGCCGCGUGAGUGAUGAAGGUCUUCGGAUCGUAAAACUCUGUUAUUAGGGAAGAACAUAUGUGUAAGUAACUGUGCACAUCUUGACGGUACCUAAUCAGAAAGCCACGGCUAACUACGUGCCAGCAGCCGCGGUAAUACGUAGGUGGCAAGCGUUAUCCGGAAUUAUUGGGCGUAAAGCGCGCGUAGGCGGUUUUUUAAGUCUGAUGUGAAAGCCCACGGCUCAACCGUGGAGGGUCAUUGGAAACUGGAAAACUUGAGUGCAGAAGAGGAAAGUGGAAUUCCAUGUGUAGCGGUGAAAUGCGCAGAGAUAUGGAGGAACACCAGUGGCGAAGGCGACUUUCUGGUCUGUAACUGACGCUGAUGUGCGAAAGCGUGGGGAUCAAACAGGAUUAGAUACCCUGGUAGUCCACGCCGUAAACGAUGAGUGCUAAGUGUUAGGGGGUUUCCGCCCCUUAGUGCUGCAGCUAACGCAUUAAGCACUCCGCCUGGGGAGUACGACCGCAAGGUUGAAACUCAAAGGAAUUGACGGGGACCCGCACAAGCGGUGGAGCAUGUGGUUUAAUUCGAAGCAACGCGAAGAACCUUACCAAAUCUUGACAUCCUUUGACAACUCUAGAGAUAGAGCCUUCCCCUUCGGGGGACAAAGUGACAGGUGGUGCAUGGUUGUCGUCAGCUCGUGUCGUGAGAUGUUGGGUUAAGUCCCGCAACGAGCGCAACCCUUAAGCUUAGUUGCCAUCAUUAAGUUGGGCACUCUAAGUUGACUGCCGGUGACAAACCGGAGGAAGGUGGGGAUGACGUCAAAUCAUCAUGCCCCUUAUGAUUUGGGCUACACACGUGCUACAAUGGACAAUACAAAGGGCAGCGAAA
RNAcentral lists this ribosomal RNA (1272 nucleotides) under Staphylococcus aureus. Its description in RNAcentral is "bacterial SSU rRNA". It matches the Rfam family "Bacterial small subunit ribosomal RNA", at positions 1 to 1254 of the family's 1533-position model. Lineage: Bacteria; Bacillati; Bacillota; Bacilli; Caryophanales; Staphylococcaceae. The record is from RNAcentral.